This 680-nucleotide long non-coding RNA is filed under the name Cairina moschata (Muscovy duck). Its description in RNAcentral is "domestica (muscovy Duck (domestic type)) lncRNA (ENSCMMG00000008401.1)". Lineage: Eukaryota; Metazoa; Chordata; Aves; Anseriformes; Anatidae. The record is from RNAcentral.
AAACACAAAACAGCUGGAGACAUAAUGUGAACAAAGUUCACCUUUUCUUGUUUACAUUUGAAAGCUGCUGCUCUGUUUAUGGGAUGAUGCAUUUGUUUAAAUGAAUGUCCAGCUAUUAUUGAUUUUUCCUCUCCUUUUUUUUUUUUUUUUUUAAUGGUUGUGUCACUAGUGUCGUGCAGCAGAGAUCUCUCGCUUUAGCACACCUGCACACAUAUUGACUGUGGAAAUUAGGCCGGGCUCUCCCUUCAGUUGCCGUGGUGAAACUCAGGCAUGGAUUUUACCAGACAGACCCCAUGGAGUCUGUCCUUCCUCUUGGCAUCCCCAUGGCUCUCUUAGUAGGCAUGCUCCCACAGCACACCAAAGGUCACCUUGAACCACUGAAAUUCCUUCUGAUGUUUUGAAGCAAAAGGAGGACUCUCAGGCUGUACGUUUUAACAGAUGAAGUCAGUGACAAAAGUUGGAGUGAUAUUAGUGUCACUGUCAGCCAACAAGGAUUGAAGAAACAGAUGGUAAGAUUUUCGAGGAAGCUUAAAACAGAAGCCAAGCUAAUACAGAACUGUUCAGCUAUCAGACAGGAGGCGGUUACAGAAGUUGAUCUGCUUCACAUUAUCUACAAUUACCUUGCUGCUGGAUAGGAUGACAUAAUAAUGUAAGCAUCGGGUCAGAAGAACUGUACUUCC